This 451-nucleotide ribosomal RNA is filed under the name uncultured bacterium. RNAcentral describes it as "partial 16S ribosomal RNA". It matches the Rfam family "Bacterial small subunit ribosomal RNA", at positions 354 to 796 of the family's 1533-position model. The record is from RNAcentral.
GUGGGGAAUAUUGGACAAUGGGCGCAAGCCUGAUCCAGCCAUGCCGCGUGUGUGAAGAAGGCCUUUUGGUUGUAAAGCACUUUAAGCGAGGAGGAGGCUCCUUUAGUUAAUACCUAAAGAGAGUGGACGUUACUCGCAGAAUAAGCACCGGCUAACUCUGUGCCAGCAGCCGCGGUAAUACAGAGGGUGCAAGCGUUAAUCGGAUUUACUGGGCGUAAAGCGCGCGUAGGUGGCCAAUUAAGUUAAAUGUGAAAUCCCCUAGCUUAAAUUGGGAAUUGCAUUCGAUACUGGUUGGCUAGAGUAUGGGAGAGGAUGGUAGAAUUCCAGGUGUAGCGGUGAAAUGCGUAGAGAUCUGGAGGAAUACCGAUGGCGAAGGCAGCCAUCUGGCCUAAUACUGACACUGAGGUGCGAAAGCAUGGGGAGCAAACAGGAUUAGAAACCCCUGUAGUCC